GGGUCGGAUGUAGGCAAGAUCGGAUCGGAUCUGUAUUUAAGGUUCGGAGCGCAAUUCUUCAAUUUAAAAGCUGCAUAAAACCGAUGGGUUAUCUUUCUAGGACACUUGUAGCACCGUGCCAGUCGGUUUAUGAAGGUUG
Caenorhabditis elegans is the source of this 139-nucleotide non-coding RNA. Lineage: Eukaryota; Metazoa; Nematoda; Chromadorea; Rhabditida; Rhabditidae. The record is from Ensembl.